This is a long non-coding RNA of Daphnia pulicaria, 2844 nucleotides long. RefSeq lists it as uncharacterized. NCBI's taxonomy places the organism in Eukaryota, Metazoa, Arthropoda, Branchiopoda, Diplostraca, Daphniidae. The transcript has 9 exons. The record is from RefSeq and is a predicted model, not a curated record.
CCGGUGACCGGCCACGUUCUGCGACUUGGACGAGUUUUCACUUUUUCAGAGUUCGGUUUCUUUUCGACGGUGUCUUAUUAGUCACGGACUACUCUAACUCAAAUAAUACUCGUUUUCUUGUGAAAUGUGAUUGUGGUGACGAUUCUCGGCUUUUAGUUGCAAUUUGUUUUAUUGCCACCAGUGCAUCAUUCGACCAAUUUGUACCUGCAAAAGGAUAGUCGUGAUCGAGCUCUCCUUUGGUUUUUAUUUUGAUCACAUCUCCUUGAUUUAGAUUACUCUUGAUUUAGAUGUCAAAAAUUUUAUUGGCCUUGAUUUUUGAGUUGAUUUGGAUUCACUUGAAAUAAUAUGAGUGCUUUUCAUUAAGUGAGUGUAGCAGGGUUAGCGGUUAGCAGUUAGUUUCAAGAGCCUGAUGUAAAGAAUGCAAAACUUCCGGUCAUUUGUGGUUUUGUGCUUAUUUCACAAACUUUGGAUCGUAUAAUCUCUUUCCAGGAAGAGUGUAAUUAACGUUUGAUUAUUCUGUUGGAAGGAAAUGCUUUGAUUACUUCAGAUCAAAAUGUCCAACACCAAGAAAUGCUCUAUCGAUGUAACACAAUCUGUGAAAUAAUAAGUGAAUUUGAGAUAUCCAUGCUGCCCUUCUAGUAUACAAGAUAUCCUAUGACUAACAAUGAUUUCAGAUGGACUAAUUGUCAUGUAAAUUUUACUAGAGCUGAAUUUUUUCUUUCUUUAUAUAGUUUUCAGCUCACAUGUUGAAAGAGAACAUGAAUCAACCAUGUUAUUUACUCUGGCCAUCUCCCUCAAAACAAAGCUGGUGUGACUGGCGCAACUGUUGGUACAGCUCUCACGCAGACACGCAGGCUGUUUUCAUCAACUACGCGUCACUAACCCCAGCGUGGACAUGUUUUACUUUUUCCAAACAAUGUUUCUACAAAUAACGCAUUGACAGAAAAAAAAGUCUAUGGAAACAUAAUCAAGGCCAUGAGUAAUCUUCAUGUUUAUAUUGCAGCAACUUUGGGGAAGUCACAUGAAAAGAUGCAGAGUAGCCUACAUUCUGUAUCUUUUACUCAAGCAGUAGAUAGAAAAUAACUUUAGUUCAUUGCAUUAAUGUUGGAAUAUUUAUUGUCAUUUUAUUUCCUUUAGAUUCAACAUGACUGUCUGUUGCCAAAGCUACUUAUUAUCUUAUCGCUUUGUUUGACCGACUGAGGAAUCUUUACGAAUCCGUGCAUUGUAGUAGUACUAAUAAUGCUAGUGUUUGGCAAUUUUAAUUAAUAGUUGGUCACACCGUUUUCGGUUGUAAACUUAACAACAAUUAAAGCUUUGUUGUCGAAACAGAAACUGACAGCUACCACCCAAAAUUUUCUUGAAGUAGAAUCGAUAAAAUUUUUUAGAGAUGUGCAAAUUAAGCGUAACUAAACUUAUUCUGACAGUUAAAAAUGACCAAAGUCUAUGCCUUCUAGCGCCACUGCGCCAGAAAAAAGAAACGUUUAACAGUAACAUGAAAAAAAUGUCCGCUCUAGCUCGUUGACACCAUCAUGGUUGACACUUAAUUGAAAGAAAAGAACUAACAAACAAAGGCUUUGAUACUCACAUAAUAUUCUCCCCUUCAAAUUUGUAUCUCGUCUUCACCCAAAAAUGAAAAAUCCACACCGCAGCAUCACAGCACAUCACAACAGACGAAAUCCCCAAGAUUGUUUACGAAAUAUCGUCUUCUGCUACCUCUACGUAUCACCCUUUUAGCUUUAUUCCUGUCAUUCUGCACUGAGCCUUACCUAUGAUAAAUCUGAGAACAGCAGUUCACGUACCAACAUAACACGCUUUUGAUCAAGACUGACCCUCAGUCAGGCCAGUUGCCAGGUCUUUCCAUCCAGCUUAUGUCCUGCUGCCCAUGCAUCAGGGCUGGGUUGUUCCGGGGGCAACACCAUCGGGUAAAUUUGCCAAUGCAGAGUUGAUGAAGAUCCCCAACUUUCUUCACUUGACACCACCCACUAUUAAGAGACAAUGCCAAGCAUUGAAAAAGUUCUGCACAGAGUGCCGUAAGAGUUGGAUAUCAACGAAAAGAUUGAAAAUCAUUUACCCAUCACAAUCACAACAAGUGAUUACCUCAAUUCUUUCCCCUCAUUGAUGAGUGAUGCCCGAGCCAGAAUUGUAACACUCCAGGUGAAAUUGAGCUCUUUGAAAAUUGGACAGCCAUGCCAAGGAUAAAUUCUUCUUUUUCCUGUACUGGUUGUACAUUUUGUAAGAAACACUUCAGAACUAUUCAGGAUUAUCAGUCAGGUAAAAGUAUGAGCUUCUUUGUUGCUGCCCAACAUACACAUGGAUUUGAUGCAGCCAGCUGAGGGCUUUAACUCUUUGUUUUAUGUUCGCGUAGUUGUUGUCCGCUGUGGUACGUUGUUGAAGCCUAUGCUGGUGAAAGAUCUUUCUACAUCAAGUUCAAUUGGCCGUUCCUUGGUGCUGAUGUUGUGUUACCGAAGUUGCAUUAUUAUUUUAUGAAAUUGCCAUUAUGUCAAUGUAGUUUACCGUUAAUAUUUUUAGAAGGAACAAAAAAGAAAUAUGGGGGUGUUUAUGUCAAACAUGUGAUAAACAUUUUCGGGAUUGGGAAAGGAAAGUGGAGGAUGUUGGAGUGGGGGGAUAUUUAAAGUUUGGAUGAAAAACAGUUAAUUUUUAACCCUGCAAUCAUAUCACUACCAAUUUAUUUCCAAACCUCAUAAACUUAUACCUUCCAAUUCUUCACACCCCACAAACAUACACCUAUCAACCCUCAAAUUUAUACCGAAACCAAAUGAACCAACGUUACACUUGAAACAUGUAAUAUUUGUAAAAAAAUAAAUAAAUAUAUUAUUAAACUCA